ACAGGUGCUGCAUGGCUGUCGUCAGCUCGUGUCGUGAGAUGUUGGGUUAAGUCCCGCAACGAGCGCAACCCUUGUCUUUAAUUGCCAGCAUUCAGUUGGGCACUUUAAAGAGACUGCCGGUGUAAGCGGAGGAAGGUGGGAUGACGUCAAGUCCUCAUGGCCUUUAUGCCCAGGGCUACACACGUGCUACAAUGGGUGGUACAAAGAGAUGCCAACUCGCGAGAGCGCGCCAAUCUCAGAAAGCCAUCCUCAGUUCGGAUUGGAGUCUGCAACUCGACUCCAUGAAGUUGGAAUCGCUAGUAAUCGCGGAUCAGCACGCCGCGGUGAAUACCGGUUCCCGGGCCUU
RNAcentral lists this ribosomal RNA (346 nucleotides) under uncultured Smithella sp. Its description in RNAcentral is "bacterial SSU rRNA". It matches the Rfam family "Bacterial small subunit ribosomal RNA", at positions 1034 to 1382 of the family's 1533-position model. The record is from RNAcentral. Lineage: Bacteria; Pseudomonadati; Thermodesulfobacteriota; Syntrophia; Syntrophales; Smithellaceae.